RNAcentral lists this transfer RNA (77 nucleotides) under bacterium. RNAcentral describes it as "tRNA-Lys". It matches the Rfam family "tRNA". Rfam says of the family: Transfer RNA (tRNA) molecules are approximately 80 nucleotides in length. Their secondary structure includes four short double-helical elements and three loops (D, anti-codon, and T loops). The record is from RNAcentral. RNAcentral also lists the same sequence under 2 other names.
GGGUCUGUAGCUCAGCUGGUUAGAGCACCUGCCUUUUAAGCAGGGUGUCGUGGGUUCAAGCCCCACCAGACCCUCCA